UACAGAGGUCCCAAGCGUUACUGAGAAUCACUGGGUUUAAAGGGCGCGUAGGCGGCCCGGUAAGCGUGUGGUGAAAGCCCGGGGCUCAACCCCGGGUCGGCCGUGCGAACUGCUGGGCUGGAGCACUGUAGGGGCGGGUGGAAUUCCGGGUGUAGCGGUGGAAUGCGCAGAUAUCAGGAGGAACACCAAAGGCGAAGGCAGUGUCCUGGGGAGUACCUGACGCUCAGGUGCGAAAGCCAGGGGAGCGAACGGG
RNAcentral lists this ribosomal RNA (253 nucleotides) under uncultured bacterium. RNAcentral describes it as "partial 16S ribosomal RNA". It matches the Rfam family "Bacterial small subunit ribosomal RNA", at positions 524 to 776 of the family's 1533-position model. The record is from RNAcentral.